UGCUUGAUUUCAGAUUUUUGAACGCAUCUGGCGCCGGCUGGGUCUCCAGCCGGCAUGCUUGUUUCAGUGUCUUGUUUUCUCCUCACCCAAAUCUUAAUGCGAGAGAUACCCUUCUCUUGUUAAGCAUGAAAGCACUCUGUGCUCUGCGGGCGGCUUUCCUGGCUUGUCUAGGGGUCGCACUCAAUGCAGUCGUCACAUUGUUUACAGUGUGAACUCGUUGAGAGUAGAGGCAGUAGCAGCAUUGCUGCCAGUGCUUAGCCACUUAAACUUUCCUUGCAUCUGAAAUCAAGCAGGAUCACCCGCUGAACUUAA
This 312-nucleotide unclassified non-coding RNA is filed under the name uncultured fungus. RNAcentral's name for it is "sequence contains ITS1". The stretch from base 1 to 72 matches the Rfam family "5.8S ribosomal RNA", at positions 81 to 154 of the family's 154-position model. The record is from RNAcentral. Lineage: Eukaryota; Fungi.